This 466-nucleotide ribosomal RNA is filed under the name uncultured bacterium. RNAcentral's name for it is "partial 16S ribosomal RNA". It matches the Rfam family "Bacterial small subunit ribosomal RNA", at positions 28 to 507 of the family's 1533-position model. The record is from RNAcentral.
GAUGAACGCUGGCGGCGUGCUUAACACAUGCCAGUCGAACGGAAAGGCUCCUGCUUGCAGGGGUACUCGAGUGGCGAACGGGUGAGUAACACGUGGGUGAUCUGCCCUGCACUUCGGGAUAAGCCUGGGAAACUGGGUCUAAUACCGGAUAGGACGAUGGUUUGGAUACCAUUGUGGAAAGUUUUUUCGGUGUGGGAUGAGCUCGCGGCCUAUCAGCUUGUUGGUGGGGUAAUGGCCUACCAAGGCGUCGACGGGUAGCCGGCCUGAGAGGGUGUACGGCCACAUUGGGACUGAGAUACGGCCCAGACUCCUACGGGAGGCAGCAGUGGGGAAUAUUGCACAAUGGGCGCAAGCCUGAUGCAGCGACGCCGCGUGGGGGAUGACGGCCUUCGGGUUGUAAACUCCUUUCGCUAGGGACGAAGCGCAAGUGACGGUACCUGGAGAAGAAGCACCGGCUAACUACGUG